This 253-nucleotide ribosomal RNA is filed under the name uncultured bacterium. RNAcentral's name for it is "partial 16S ribosomal RNA". It matches the Rfam family "Bacterial small subunit ribosomal RNA", at positions 524 to 776 of the family's 1533-position model. The record is from RNAcentral.
UACAGAGGGUGCAAGCGUUGUUCGGAUUCAUUGGGCGUAAAGGGUGCGUAGGCGGCGUGGUAAGUCGGGUGUGAAAUCUCGGAGCUUAACUCCGAAACUGCAUUCGAUACUGCCGUGCUUGAGGACUGGAGAGGAGACUGGAAUUUACGGUGUAGCGGUGAAAUGCGUAGAUAUCGUAAGGAAGACCAGUGGCGAAGGCGGGUCUCUGGACAGUUCCUGACGCUGAGGCACGAAGGCCAGGGGAGCAAACGGG